RNAcentral lists this ribosomal RNA (605 nucleotides) under Khaya nyasica. RNAcentral describes it as "eukaryotic LSU rRNA". The stretch from base 162 to 317 matches the Rfam family "5.8S ribosomal RNA". The record is from RNAcentral. Lineage: Eukaryota; Viridiplantae; Streptophyta; Magnoliopsida; Sapindales; Meliaceae.
GUUCGCGGAAGGGUCGGGACCUUAAUCUCCCCCCUCCCGCGGCGAAACAACGAACCCCGGCGCGGUCCGCGCCAAGGAAAAUCAAACGGGAGAGCGCGCUCCCGCCGCCCCGGAAACGGCGCGCGCGGGCUGCGUCGCCUUCUUCGAUCGUAAUCUAAAACGACUCUCGGCAACGGAUAUCUCGGCUCUCGCAUCGAUGAAGAACGUAGCGAAAUGCGAUACUUGGUGUGAAUUGCAGAAUCCCGUGAACCAUCGAGUCUUUGAACGCAAGUUGCGCCCCAAGCCGUCAGGCCGAGGGCACGUCUGCCUGGGUGUCACGCACCGUUGCCCCCCGCCCAACCCCCUCCGGGGGCGUUGCGGGCCGGGCGGGCGGAGACUGGCCUCCCGCGUUCUCCCAUUCGCGGUUGGCCCAAAUUCGAGUCCUCGGCGGCCCUGCCGCGACGAUCGGUGGUGAGAACGUAACGUCUCGAGCUCUCGUCGCGCGCGGGUGCCCCCGUGCUGUGGGCUCUCGGACCCCUUGCGCGCCCCUCGUUCGGGCGCUCGCUUCGCGACCCCAGGUCAGGCGGGAACACCCGCUGAGUUUAAGCAUAUCAAUAAGCGGAGGA